Molecule: ribosomal RNA, 426 nt
Filed under: uncultured bacterium
Lineage: Bacteria
Description: bacterial SSU rRNA
Rfam family: Bacterial small subunit ribosomal RNA
Source: RNAcentral
UCGAGAAUCUUCGGCAAUGGGCGCAAGCCUGACCGAGCGACGCCGCGUGUGGGAUGAAGGCCCUUGGGUUGUAAACCACUGUCAGAGGGGAUGAAAUGCGGGUGGGUUCUCCCAUCCGUUUGACAUAGCCUCAGAGGAAGCACGGGCUAAGUUCGUGCCAGCAGCCGCGGUAAUACGAACUGUGCAAACGUUAUUCGGAAUCACUGGGCUUAAAGGGUGCGUAGGCGGCCAGAUAAGUAGGGUGUGAAAGCCCCCGGCUCAACCGGGGAAUGGCGCUCUAAACUGUCUGGCUGGAGUGAGAUAGGGGUGUGCGGAACUUCCGGUGGAGCGGUGAAAUGUGUUGAUAUCGGAAGGAACGCCGGUGGCGAAAGCGGCACACUGGAUCUCAACUGACGCUGAGGCACGAAAGCCAGGGGAGCAAACGGG